This 244-nucleotide ribosomal RNA is filed under the name uncultured bacterium. RNAcentral describes it as "partial 16S ribosomal RNA". It matches the Rfam family "Bacterial small subunit ribosomal RNA", at positions 118 to 347 of the family's 1533-position model. The record is from RNAcentral.
UGGGUAACCUGCCUCAAAGAGGGGAAUAGCCUCUCGAAAGGGAGAUUAAUACCGCAUAAUAUGUUUAAGUCGCAUGACUUUAACAUCAAAGGAUUUUCUUUUAAGAAAUUCCACUUUGAGAUGGACCCCGCGGCGCAUUAGCUAGUUGGUGAGGUAACGGCUCACCAAGGCAACGAUGCGUAGCCGACCUGAGAGGGUNAUCGGCCACAUUGGAACUGAGACACGGUCCAGACCUCUACGGGAG